Molecule: non-coding RNA, 18 nt
Filed under: Arabidopsis thaliana (thale cress)
Lineage: Eukaryota; Viridiplantae; Streptophyta; Magnoliopsida; Brassicales; Brassicaceae
Also listed under: 1 other name
Source: RNAcentral
ACUCUCUUAAGGUAGCCA